CGAGUUCGUCAGACUGUCGCUUCUAAUGCGGGACAACCGCAUCAGGGGAGGAAAGUCCGGACUCCGCAGGGCAGGGUGCUGGCUAACAGCCAGGCGCAGUGAUGCGACGGAUAGCGCAACAGAAAACAAACCGCCGGCACACGUUGCCGGUAAGGAUGAAACGGCGAGGUAAGAGCUCACCAGCGCGGCAGCGAUGCCGCGGCUUGGCAAGCCCCACCCGGAGCAACGCCAAAACGUGCAGAUGAGGCGGCCCGCUGAUGCACAGGUAGGCGGCUUGAGAUCCGCAGUAAUGCGUGAUCCAGAGAGAUGACAGCCACGGCCUUCCCGCAAGGGCAGGCUUUGACAGAAUCCGGCUUACCGACGGACUCGGACA
RNAcentral lists this RNase P RNA (373 nucleotides) under Thermoflexales bacterium. Its description in RNAcentral is "RNase P RNA component class A". It matches the Rfam family "Bacterial RNase P class A". Rfam says of the family: Ribonuclease P (RNase P) is a ubiquitous endoribonuclease, found in archaea, bacteria and eukarya as well as chloroplasts and mitochondria. Its best characterised activity is the generation of mature 5'-ends of tRNAs by cleaving the 5'-leader elements of precursor-tRNAs. The record is from RNAcentral. Lineage: Bacteria; Bacillati; Chloroflexota; Thermoflexia; Thermoflexales.